AGAGUUUGAUCAUGGCUCAGAGCGAACGCUGGCGGCAGGCUUAACACAUGCAAGUCGAGCGGGCAUAGCAAUAUGUCAGCGGCAGACGGGUGAGUACGCGUGGGACGUACCUUUUGGUUCGGGACAACACAGGGAAAUUUGUGCUAAUACCGGAUAAGCCCUUACGGGGAAAGAUUUAUCGCCGAAAGAUCGGCCCGCGUCUGAUUAGCUAGUUGGUGAGGUAAUGGCUCACC
RNAcentral lists this ribosomal RNA (233 nucleotides) under uncultured bacterium. RNAcentral describes it as "partial 16S ribosomal RNA". It matches the Rfam family "Bacterial small subunit ribosomal RNA", at positions 8 to 269 of the family's 1533-position model. The record is from RNAcentral.